Molecule: ribosomal RNA, 657 nt
Filed under: uncultured bacterium
Lineage: Bacteria
Description: bacterial SSU rRNA
Rfam family: Bacterial small subunit ribosomal RNA
Source: RNAcentral
AGUCGAACGGUUGCCAGCAAUGGCAAUAGUGGCGCACGGGUGCGUAACGCGUAACCAACCUACCCGAAUCUGGGGGAUAGCCCGCCGAAAGGCGGAUUAAUACCGCAUAAAACUGCAGGACGGCAUCGUUCAACAGUUAAAGAUUUAUUGGAUUCGGAUGGGGUUGCGUGCCAUUAGCUAGUUGGGGGGGUAACGGCCCACCAAGGCGACGAUGGCUAGGGGAGCUGAGAGGCUGGUCCCCCACACGGGCACUGAGAUACGGGCCCGACUCCUACGGGAGGCAGCAGUAGGGAAUAUUGGGCAAUGGUCGAGAGACUGACCCAGCCAUGCCGCGUGCAGGAUGAAGGCUUUCUGAGUCGUAAACUGCUUUUGCCAGGGAAGAAAAAAGGGGAUGCGUCCUCUACUGACGGUACCUGGUGAAUAAGCACCGGCUAACUCCGUGCCAGCAGCCGCGGUAAUACGGAGGGUGCAAGCGUUGUCCGGAUUUAUUGGGUUUAAAGGGUGCGUAGGCGGCUUUUUAAGUCUGGGGUGAAAGCCCGUUGCUCAACAACGGAACUGCCCUGGAAACUGGAGAGCUUGAGUACAGACGAGGGUGGCGGAAUGGAUACUGUAGCGGUGAAAUGCAUAGAUAGUAUCCAGAACCCCGAUUGCGAAGGC